This 340-nucleotide long non-coding RNA is filed under the name Carica papaya (papaya). Its description in RNAcentral is "long non-coding RNA (CPAP_LNC002030)". The record is from RNAcentral. Lineage: Eukaryota; Viridiplantae; Streptophyta; Magnoliopsida; Brassicales; Caricaceae.
UUUUAUUUAUGAUAAAUGAAUUUACUUAAAUUAAGAGCUUCAUUAGUUGUUUUCAUGAUUUUUACUAACUUUCAUUUCUGUAUCGGUGAGUAGUAUGACAUUCUUACUGGGUUAGUGUAGCUCACUCUUUCAUUACCAUUUCAGAUCAAGAGGACCAAGAUCUAGAUCCUGAUCCACAAGAGGGUUGCGAAUAGGAUGUUCAAUUAUUUACUUUCCAGUUAUUUCUUUGAUUUUUCGUUGUUCUUUUAGAAGGGUCAUUCCAGUAGCCCUAUUGGGUAUUCUGAAUUAUUGUGUAAAGAAUGUAAACUCUAACGUUAUUAUUUCACUUUUGCAAUCGAUU